GCCCUAAGCAAAGCUAUCGAGGAAAUGUCACCGGGAUUAUACCAACAAAUAACACCAGAACCAACUCAGCUUACACAGAUCAUACUGGACUGUUCGUCUAGUCACCUAGUGCUACCUCAAUUUUACAAUAGACUGGAAUGUAUUAGUAGAGGAUUAUGUUAUGCACUCCAUAUUGCACGUAGUACCGCCCUGGACAUUCACUACAAGUAAUGUGCUUGAAUUACUUGCCUGCAUAUCAUUGACAUUUAUCAUAACUUUAAAAUUGUUGAGUGAUUGAAACACAGUAGAAACCAUCCCGCUCUUAGUGUAUAUAGACUUCUUCUUUUAGUUUUGUAGUAAUUGUGGGACAGUGCAUAUAUAUAUGUAGUGCUGAGUAUUCAACACUACAGUUCUCCA
RNAcentral lists this long non-coding RNA (396 nucleotides) under Mytilus galloprovincialis (Mediterranean mussel). The record is from RNAcentral. Lineage: Eukaryota; Metazoa; Mollusca; Bivalvia; Mytilida; Mytilidae.